GUAGUCUGGGUUCCCGACCCAGUCCUCAGUAACACUUGGAUCUUUUCUGUCUCCCUCUCUGCAGGGGCUUGCACAGCUCUGCACACCCAGCAGACACUGAUGACUGCUACCCAGUUCCAGCUAUUUAGAACAUUGGAAUUGAAACUCUUGAUUUGUGCUUUCUUGCUUUAUCACAGAUCAAAGGAAUUCAAGGAGUUCACCCACGUAUAUCAAGCACCUAGAAAAGUGUCAGGCACAUGGGAAGUGCUCAAUAAACGUUUGCUGAAGGAAUGUCCAAGGUCUGGUGAGGAGUGGAGGAGGAGGUGCGAAGAAGAUGGCCAGCUUGCUCCCUGCGUGUACCUCGGCCAGCCACGUGGAAGAAGCCAAGCGAAGGGCUGUGGGGACCUAGAAGAUGGAGUCAUCAAACAAUGGAAGAAUCCCAGAUCUUCAAGUCACUGUUUGGACAAGAACCUACCAUGACAUGUGCCUGAACUUCGUGUGAGUGAGAAACAAACUUUUAUUGUUAAGCCACUGACUCUUUGGGUUGGUUUUUAUAGUAGCUGGUGUUGCUUAUACUGACUAAUACAUCUUGGAAGUAAAUGAUGCAAAAUAAUUCUAAAUAUUUACAGGGGAUGAUAUUUAUAAGGGAAAAUAAUAAUAGGGUGAUGCCAAUGUGGUGUCCUGAGAAGGAAGCACCAACAAGGAAGGGGCCCGAGGUAGGGAAGGGCAACUGUUCUGAGAGGCUGCUAAUCACAACCAACCUGCUGGCACCACGUCCUGUUCCCAAGUCCUCUGCUCAGCGUGCAGCCCCAGCAGCCUGACGUUGUCUGCGUGUAGACCCUCCAGCAUGACCCUAUAAAAUUUCCCUCCAGCCACCGCCUCUUGGCAGACAGUCCUUUCUCUGCUGUGCAGCCCACUGCUUUCUUACAAUGUAUCUUUCUACUUCCUCUAAUAAAUCUGCCUUUCUUUACCCA
RNAcentral lists this long non-coding RNA (953 nucleotides) under Callithrix jacchus (white-tufted-ear marmoset). RNAcentral describes it as "lncRNA (ENSCJAG00000080176.1)". Lineage: Eukaryota; Metazoa; Chordata; Mammalia; Primates; Cebidae. The record is from RNAcentral.